Molecule: long non-coding RNA, 3234 nt
Organism: Tigriopus californicus
Lineage: Eukaryota; Metazoa; Arthropoda; Copepoda; Harpacticoida; Harpacticidae
Exons: 4
Source: RefSeq, a predicted model, not a curated record
CACAUAUUUACUGCUUAAGUGGACUCCGCCAUUUUUGACAAGUUUGAUAACAUGGAGACGGCCGAUGUGUUACUGUAAGCUUGUGUGUGCAUGUGAGAAUGAUUCUAAAGUUUGUUCUUUCGGACGAAAGACAAUGUGCAUUUUUGUGAGACAGUUGCGGAUCAGAUUGGUUGGUUUUGAAUUACGACAAGGACAAAUAAGUAUAACAAUUACACUAGCUCAGUAUUAGUGGGAAUCGUGACAUUUCACUCUGAUCAGCGGCUCAAGUGAGUCAAGUUUUUAAGUAGGAAUAACAUUUGAGCAAAGCAAACGCGUAAAUCACUGGUGCGUCCAGCCAAAAGCCAUGGUCACACUGAGGACCCAAAUGUCAGAAAUUCACUUGUUUACACUUCCUGGACGGAUCCAAGGUCAAUCUCUUGCGGCGGUUGCUCUUCAUCUUCAAUGCUGACCCCCUCGGGCACGGCCGCUUCUUCGGUAUCGUCGUCAAAGACCACGGGGGGUCGUCGAGGCACGUCCUCGGGUUGGAGAUCUGGGGUCAAGCCCUCAACGACCUCAUCGACCUCAUUGGAUUCCGUGGCUUCGGCCACUUCAAUCUCAGUUAGGUCUCUCGUCACAGCUGCAUCUUCAGACCUGAGACUGAGGUCGAAUUGAGAUUCUUCUGGAAUGAUGAACACAUCGUCUAACCGCACUUCGGCUAAGGGGUCCCUGGUCGUGGCUGGUUGGUCCACUCCAGCUUCAGGAAGGUCGGGAACAACCUCGUCUCCUUCGGAAUCAUCCUCUUGGAUUUCUGAUGCAAAUGGGUCAAAGACGUCGUCGAGCUCAAUCUCGUCCAAGGGAUUGCGUCGACCCUCCGCUUCAGUAGUUUCGGUGGCCGUAGUUUCAUCGGCCGUGGCAUCAUCGUCUUGGAUCUCUGACGCAAACGGGUCAAAAACGUCGUCUAAUACAAUUUCUUCCAAGGGAUUUCGACGCGUUUGUGUAUCAGCCAGGUCAAUGGUGGUGGCUUCACUGUCGGAAUCGUCGUCUUGAAUUUCCAGUGCAAAAGGGUCAAAAACAUCGUCCAAUUCGAUCUCAGCCAAAGGGUUUCUUCGUGUGAUAUCCUCAGGUUGUUCGGUGACCGUGGUCUCCUCAACCUUUUGAGCCUCCUGAUCAGCUUCGAAUCGGGCCUUGAGUUCGUCGAUCUCAUCCACAGCAUUUGCCUCCUCCUCAUCCACCUUGUUCAAGAGGUUGUUGAGUGUUUCAUCAAAGGAGUGCAAGGUGCCACUGAAGGUCUCCGUGAUGGCGUCCGCGGUCUGAAAAAAAAAGGCAAAUAAACACCGCCACAAUUUGUUUACUCUUGAACUUGAGACUCAUCCUAAGAAUCUGGAGACGCGCUAGGUUUCCUCGUUUCCAUAGUAAUUUGUGUGACGGUUUCCAACCACGCGAAAAGCAACAUUUCAUGACGUUGUUGCUCAAUCACCCUUUUUGGAAGCACUCACUCGCCAUUGUUUGAAGAUUUCAUGCUUUGGGAGUCCAAUUUUACGCACUGAAUAUGUCUUGAUUGAUCAGGAAGUCAUGUCUUGAGACCAUUGAGGGAUCUCUUGACUACAGUUACUACUACAACUACACACCUCCAUCAAAGUCUUAGAGCUCUUUUAUGUGGGACUGGUAGGCGUAGGUUGGAAGCCAUUGUUCAGUGUUUUAGCUUGCUCACGGCAUUUUCCUAAACUGGCUUGAGGUUUCAGCUUGAGCAAAAAAAUGGAUGGAUUACUUUAAUCGUGCUCUUAAAUCUUGAUCACUGUUAUCAGACUUCCUGCCAUCGUUUUCCUGCCAACUGGGCUUAAAUCAAGCUUUGAACAUCUGGCUUUACUCACCUCUUGCAACUCCUCAACGGCCAUUUCAGCGGCCUUUUCAAGCUCAUCCUGGUCUUCAGUCGUCAUCUCCACCCUUUCAGUGGUGACUUCUUCCAUGGGUUCGUCUGUGGAUUCCUCUACAGUUUCGGUGGUCUCUUCCAAAGCCUCCGUAACAGGGGUGGAAAUGGUGGUUGUGUCAGCCAUGAGCUCCUUACGAUUGGCUUCUUCAAUAGCCUUUUUAAUGGCUUGCUCUUCCAACAUCUUUUGAAGGUCAAACACUGGGGCUUUAUCGUCAUCGUAGGUCACUCUCUGAAUCUCAUUCUGAUUCUGAAACUGAUACGGGUCCUUGACCGUAACUGGACCAAAACCUCGUAGGGGGCCAUGGGCAAAUCCGCGGCCGAACCUCAUAACCUGCGAUCACAAAACAACAUAUUAUGGUCACCCUUCUGCGUCCAGUAAGUUAUGGUCCUAGACCGUACCCUUGAGUAACCACUGUGAAUUCUGACUUCGGGAGCACUUUCUUCUGACCUCGACGACGAGAGCUCAUCUCCGAAUCCUCGGAACUGUUCUUCGGUCAGAGACUGAGGUAGAGGAAUGGCCAUAACCACAGAUAGAGUGGAUGUGAAUGCCAGGAGGCAGGAUAUCGUAAACCUGAGAGACUUCAUUAUAGUUUGUGUUUUCUUUUGUUUUGCUCGAUGGAUGGCUAAGAAUGGGAAAUUCUUCCUCGCCUUUCAAUUUCAGGAUAGAAGAUUGGGCAACCAAUGACGUGCACGAGCUGCAAAAGAAUUUGUGAGAGGAUGGGUAAAACGUUGGACUAAAUCAAAUCAAGCAGGUUGGUUCGUGUUAAACUUUGUACUUCCUUCCCGCGCCCCGAAUCCUGAUCGACCAAGAGUGAGUGACAUGUGUGAUAUCCUGGAGAUGCAUUCGGGUGUUGGCGAACCUCCACAGCAAUCGAUGACCAAGACGCUAGUCCACCGCUAAUGGCGAUCUUGACCGCCAUCUUACAUCUAUAUCUCCUGGCUUCAAUCUGGCCACAAUAAUUGAUGUAUUGAGAAAUAAUGGUCUUAGCUGAGUAUUUGGAAGGUCUCGAGAAAAUGAACUCAUGUGGUUCGCAAGGUUUGCGAGUCCAUUCAAAUGAUUGUUUCCUUAACUGUCCAAAAAGGACUGUUUGGAUGGAGGAAAUGGUGGCCUUGAACUCGAACCAACCCAGGAUAUCCCCAUAACGAAUCGACAAUCCAAAAAUCCCUGACUUCCUGAUGGAAAUUCCCACCUACUAGCCGUACUACCGUGUGUACCAUUCCUCAAACCAAGAACCACAGAGUCGAAUUGGUGAUGUCUUGAAUAAUUCAAAUUAAUUGCGUCAGACAAAUACACAUCUGUUUGGUGUGCGUACCUUUGUCAUGAA